This 62-nucleotide transfer RNA is filed under the name Temnothorax nr. peninsularis CASENT0733967. Its description in RNAcentral is "tRNA-Leu". Lineage: Eukaryota; Metazoa; Arthropoda; Insecta; Hymenoptera; Formicidae. The record is from RNAcentral.
UAUGGCAGACUAAGUGCACAGGACUUAAACUCCUAUCAUAAAGAUUUACUCUUUUAUUAAAA